ACGGGGUGCAGCAGGCGCGAAACCUCCGCAAUACACGAAAGUGUGACGGGGUUACCCAAAGUGUUCUAUUUAGAACUGUGGUAGGUGAGUAAUGUCCCCUACUAGAAAGGAGAGGGCAAGGCUGGUGCCAGCCGCCGCGGUAAAACCAGCUCUUCAAGUGGUCGGGAUAAUUAUUGGGCUUAAAGUGUCCGUAGCCGGUUUAGUAAGUUCCUGGUAAAAUCGGGUAGCUUAACUAUCUAUAUGCUAGGAAUACUGCUAUACUAGAGGGCGGGAGAGGUCUGAGGUACUACAGGGGUAGGGGUGAAAUCUUAUAAUCCUUGUAGGACCACCAGUGGCGAAGGCGUCAGACUGGAACGCGCCUGACGGUGAGGGACGAAAGCCAGGGGAGCGAACCGGAUUAGAUACCCGGGUAGUCCUGGCCGUAAACGAUGCAUACUAGGUGAUGGCACGGCCAUGAGCCGUGUCAGUGCCGUAGGGAAACCGUUAAGUGUGCCGCCUGGAAGUACGUCGCAAGC
Molecule: ribosomal RNA, 515 nt
Filed under: uncultured archaeon
Lineage: Archaea
Description: bacterial SSU rRNA
Rfam family: Archaeal small subunit ribosomal RNA
Source: RNAcentral